AAGCUGCCGUAAAAUAGGAGAACAACAGACAUGGUCACGCCAUCUAAGAAGAAAUCAAGUGCACCAGUCUGCAGGUUAAGACCAUAUGCAGUACUACAGGCUUGUUUUCUUUGGACAUUGUUCUGUUUGGCUCUGUGGGCAUUGAAUGGUGGGAUCCACAUCAAACAAAUUCAGCCCGCCAGACCUAAACCAGUUCCUCAAAAUAACAGUUCAUCCAUAAUAUCCGCGUUUGACAUGGGAAUCAGUGACGAGGAGUGGGGAAGACUA
This is a long non-coding RNA of Sinocyclocheilus rhinocerous, 267 nucleotides long. RefSeq lists it as uncharacterized. The transcript is spliced from 3 exons. Lineage: Eukaryota; Metazoa; Chordata; Actinopteri; Cypriniformes; Cyprinidae. The record is from RefSeq and is a predicted model, not a curated record.